This 253-nucleotide ribosomal RNA is filed under the name uncultured bacterium. Its description in RNAcentral is "partial 16S ribosomal RNA". It matches the Rfam family "Bacterial small subunit ribosomal RNA", at positions 524 to 776 of the family's 1533-position model. The record is from RNAcentral.
UACGUAGGGGGCUAGCGUUGUCCGGAAUCAUUGGGCGUAAAGCGCGUGUAGGCGGUCCGGUAAGUCCGCUGUGAAAGUCGGGGGCUCAACCCUCGGAUGCCGGUGGAUACUGUCGGGCUUGAGUACGGAAGAGGCGAGUGGAAUUCCUGGUGUAGCGGUGAAAUGCGUAGAUAUCGAGAGGAACACCUGCGGCGAAGGCGGGUUGCUGGGCUGACACUGACGCUGAGGCGCGAAAGCUAGGGGAGCGAACGGG